GAGCGGCGAACGGGUGAGUAACACGUGGGUGAUCUGCCCUGUACUUCGGGAUAAGCCUGGGAAACUGGGUCUAAUACCGGAUAUGACCUCUGGGUGCAUGCCUGGUGGUGGAAAGAUUUAUCGGUACAGGAUGGGCCCGCGGCCUAUCAGCUUGUUGGUGGGGUAAUGGCCUACCAAGGCGACGACGGGUAGCCGGCCUGAGAGGGCGACCGGCCACACUGGGACUGAGACACGGCCCAGACUCCUACGGGAGGCAGCAGUGGGGAAUAUUGCACAAUGGGCGAAAGCCUGAUGCAGCGACGCCGCGUGAGGGAUGACGGCCUUCGGGUUGUAAACCUCUUUCGACAGGGACGAAGCGCAAGUGACGGUACCUGUAGAAGAAGCACCGGCCAACUACGUGCCAGCAGCCGCGGUAAUACGUAGGGUGCGAGCGUUGUCCGGAAUUACUGGGCGUAAAGAGCUUGUAGGCGGUUUGUCGCGUCGUCCGUGAAAACUUGGGGCUCAACCCCAAGCUUGCGGGCGAUACGGGCAGACUUGAGUACUGCAGGGGAGACUGGAAUUCCU
Molecule: ribosomal RNA, 564 nt
Filed under: Nocardia sp. 384G06
Lineage: Bacteria; Bacillati; Actinomycetota; Actinomycetes; Mycobacteriales; Nocardiaceae
Also listed under: 1 other name
Description: bacterial SSU rRNA
Rfam family: Bacterial small subunit ribosomal RNA
Source: RNAcentral